Molecule: ribosomal RNA, 440 nt
Filed under: uncultured bacterium
Lineage: Bacteria
Description: partial 16S ribosomal RNA
Rfam family: Bacterial small subunit ribosomal RNA
Source: RNAcentral
UGGGGAAUAUUGCACAAUGGGCGAAAGCCUGAUGCAGCGACGCCGCGUGAGGGAUGACGGCCUUCGGGUUGUAAACCUCUUUCAGCAGGGAAGAAGCGAAAGUGACGGUACCUGCAGAAGAAGCGCCGGCUAACUACGUGCCAGCAGCCGCGGUAAUACGUAGGGCGCAAGCGUUGUCCGGAAUUAUUGGGCGUAAAGAGCUCGUAGGCGGUUAGUCGCGUCUGCUGUGAAAACUCGAGGCUCAACCUCGGGCUUGCAGUGGGUACGGGCUGACUAGAGUGCGGUAGGGGUGACUGGAAUUCCUGGUGUAGCGGUGGAAUGCGCAGAUAUCAGGAGGAACACCGAUGGCGAAGGCAGGUCACUGGGCCGCAACUGACGCUGAGGAGCGAAAGCAUGGGGAGCGAACAGGAUUAGAUAGCCCUGGUAGUCCAUGCCGUAAA